This 74-nucleotide transfer RNA is filed under the name Lactococcus termiticola. RNAcentral describes it as "tRNA-Gly". It matches the Rfam family "tRNA". From Rfam's summary of the family: Transfer RNA (tRNA) molecules are approximately 80 nucleotides in length. Their secondary structure includes four short double-helical elements and three loops (D, anti-codon, and T loops). Further hydrogen bonds mediate the characteristic L-shaped molecular structure. tRNAs have two regions of fundamental functional importance: the anti-codon, which is responsible for specific mRNA codon recognition, and the 3' end, to which the tRNAs corresponding amino acid is attached (by aminoacyl-tRNA synthetases). tRNAs cope with the degeneracy of the genetic code in two manners: having more than one tRNA (with a specific anti-codon) for a particular amino acid; and 'wobble' base-pairing, i.e. permitting non-standard base-pairing at the 3rd anti-codon position. Lineage: Bacteria; Bacillati; Bacillota; Bacilli; Lactobacillales; Streptococcaceae. The record is from RNAcentral.
AGCGAACGUAGCUCAGGGGUAGAGCACAACCUUGCCAUGGUUGGGGUCGCGGGUUCGAAUCCCGUCGUUCGCUU